AGGUCAGCCUUAGUUUGGCGCUUCGAGGUAUGGCUCGGACCAAUCCCCUUUUACUAGUCAUCUCAGCGUCGCUUAACGCUAACAUUCUUGAUUUCUUGGGUAGAUAUGAUGGACCUCAGGAACCUGCGGGGAAUGCCUCGCGCUUCUGCAGCUCCUCCGUCUGAUCUUCCCGCUGCACAACCUGCGAGAGAUCCGAGUCGACCGGGGGGUUCGGAGCCCGACCGUCCAUGCAAGAGGCCGAAAACCAGGACGCCGAAGAUGCCUGCCUCUGUCACGGCUCGAGAGGCUGCUGCCAAAGCUGGG
Molecule: long non-coding RNA, 303 nt
Filed under: Musa acuminata (dwarf banana)
Lineage: Eukaryota; Viridiplantae; Streptophyta; Magnoliopsida; Zingiberales; Musaceae
Description: long non-coding RNA (MACU_LNC006658)
Source: RNAcentral